This is a non-coding RNA of Macaca mulatta (Rhesus monkey), 72 nucleotides long. Lineage: Eukaryota; Metazoa; Chordata; Mammalia; Primates; Cercopithecidae. The record is from Rfam.
UAGUGAGUAUAUGAGGGAGUAGGAUGUAUGGUUGUUACACAGAGAACUAAAAUCUUUUCUCACAACAGACAG